GACGAACGCUGGCGGCGUGCUUAACACAUGCAAGUCGAACGGAAAGGCACUGCUUUUGUCGGCUGCUCGAGUGGCGAACGGACGAGUAACUAGUGCGUAACCUACCUUUGCCUUAGAGGGAACUAACGGAAGGUGACGCUAACUCCUGCUACAUGCUCCCGCUGCACGGUGGGGGUUGGAGAGUUGCGGCGGCUGGGGAUGGACUCGCGGCGUAUCAGCUUGUUGGUGGGGUAGUGGCUUCGCAAGGCUUUGAAGGGUAGCCGGCCUGAGAGGGUGACCGGCCACAGUGGGACAGGGAUACGGGCCGUAGCCCUACGGGAGGCAGCAGUGGGGAAUUUUGCACGAAGGGCGGAAGGCGGGUGCAGGAACGCCGCGUUCGGGAUCACGGCCUUCGGGGUGGAAACCGCUUCCGGCGGUGACGGAGCGUGAGUGACGGUAAUGGGUAAAGAAGCACCGGCUAACUACGUG
Molecule: ribosomal RNA, 468 nt
Filed under: uncultured bacterium
Lineage: Bacteria
Description: partial 16S ribosomal RNA
Rfam family: Bacterial small subunit ribosomal RNA
Source: RNAcentral